Molecule: ribosomal RNA, 305 nt
Filed under: uncultured bacterium
Lineage: Bacteria
Description: bacterial SSU rRNA
Rfam family: Bacterial small subunit ribosomal RNA
Source: RNAcentral
UCCUACGGGGCGCAGCAGUGGGGAUAUUGGACAAUGGGGGAAACCCUGAUCCAGCGAUGCCGCGUGAGGGAAGAAGGUCUUCGGAUUGUAAACCUCUGUGGAGGGGGACGAUAAUGACGGUACCCCUUUAGGAAGCCACGGCUAACUCCGUGCCAGCAGCCGCGGUAAUACGGAGGAUGCGAGCGUUAUCCGGAUUUAUUGGGUUUAAAGGGUGCGUAGGCGGAGUGUCAAGUCAGCGGUAAAAUUUCGGGGCUCAACCCCGUCGUGCCGUUGAAACUGACGCCCUUGAGUGAGUGAGAAGUAAG